RNAcentral lists this ribosomal RNA (599 nucleotides) under uncultured Alteromonadales bacterium. Its description in RNAcentral is "bacterial SSU rRNA". It matches the Rfam family "Bacterial small subunit ribosomal RNA", at positions 125 to 717 of the family's 1533-position model. Lineage: Bacteria; Pseudomonadati; Pseudomonadota; Gammaproteobacteria; Alteromonadales. The record is from RNAcentral.
UCUACCCAGUAGUUGGGGACAACCCGAGGAAACUCGGGCUAAUACCGAAUAUGCACUACGGUGUAAAGAAGGCCUCUAUUUAUAAGCUUUCGCUAUUGGAGGAGCCUGCGUAGGAUUAGUUUGUUGGUGGGGUAAUGGCCUACCAAGACUACGAUCCUUAGCUGGUCUGAGAGGACGAUCAGCCACACUGGAACUGAGACACGGUCCAGACUCCUACGGGGGGCAGCAGUAGGGAAUCUUGGGCAAUGGGCGCAAGCCUGACCCAGCCAUGCCGCGUGUGUGAAGAAGGCUCUAGGGUUGUAAAGCACUUUCAGUGGUGAAGAUAAGCUGUGGAUUAAUACUCCACGGUCUAGACGUUAACCACAGAAGAAGAUCCGGCUAACUCCGUGCCAGCAGCCGCGGUAAUACGGAGGGAUCGAACGUUAAUCGGAAUUACUGGGCGUAAAGCGCGCGUAGGCGGUUUCUUAAGUGGGAUGUGAAAGCCCCGGGCUCAACCUGGGAAUUGCAUUCCAUACUGGGGAACUAGAGUGUGAUAGAGGGAGGUAGAAUUUCCUGUGUAGCGGUGAAAUGCGUAGAUAUAGGAAGGAAUACCAGUGGCG